This 668-nucleotide ribosomal RNA is filed under the name Bacillus subtilis. Its description in RNAcentral is "bacterial SSU rRNA". It matches the Rfam family "Bacterial small subunit ribosomal RNA", at positions 109 to 762 of the family's 1533-position model. The record is from RNAcentral. Lineage: Bacteria; Bacillati; Bacillota; Bacilli; Caryophanales; Bacillaceae.
AGUAACACGUGGGUAACCUGCCUGUAAGACUGGGAUAACUCCGGGAAACCGGGGCUAAUACCGGAUGCUUGUUUGAACCGCAUGGUUCAAACAUAAAAGGUGGCUUCGGCUACCACUUACAGAUGGACCCGCGGCGCAUUAGCUAGUUGGUGAGGUAAUGGCUCACCAAGGCGACGAUGCGUAGCCGACCUGAGAGGGUGAUCGGCCACACUGGGACUGAGACACGGCCCAGACUCCUACGGGAGGCAGCAGUAGGGAAUCUUCCGCAAUGGACGAAAGUCUGACGGAGCAACGCCGCGUGAGUGAUGAAGGUUUUCGGAUCGUAAAGCUCUGUUGUUAGGGAAGAACAAGUACCGUUCGAAUAGGGCGGUACCUUGACGGUACCUAACCAGAAAGCCACGGCUAACUACGUGCCAGCAGCCGCGGUAAUACGUAGGUGGCAAGCGUUGUCCGGAAUUAUUGGGCGUAAAGGGCUCGCAGGCGGUUUCUUAAGUCUGAUGUGAAAGCCCCCGGCUCAACCGGGGAGGGUCAUUGGAAACUGGGGAACUUGAGUGCAGAAGAGGAGAGUGGAAUUCCACGUGUAGCGGUGAAAUGCGUAGAGAUGUGGAGGAACACCAGUGGCGAAGGCGACUCUCUGGUCUGUAACUGACGCUGAGGAGCGAAAGCGU